GCUGAGUUGUACGGUGAGAUCCAGCGAAGAAGAUGCGGCGAGAUCCGACGAUGCUACAGCGAGAUUUGGUGAUGAUGACGAGUUCCCGGCAAGAUCUAACGACGUUGACGAUUUCCGGCGAGAUUAGACGACGCUCAUGAUUUUUCUGACGAGCUCUCUGACGACUUUUCCAGCGAGCCUUUCGACGAACCUGAAAAACUUGACGAGAUCCGACGAACUGACCAAGCUCUCUCACGACGUCAACGAAGGAACAAUAUGUGAUUGGCUUGCAUUCAGAUUUUGAAGAUCGACGAGGUUGGUGAGUUGUUUGAAGAAGCAAGAGGAACUCUGAACAACAACGUGAUGGAGCUCUUAGGGAGGACAAGCUGCUGAUUCCACUUCCUUCAUUUGUGAUCUUGGUUCUUCUCACAUUCUAUUCUCCAUCCACAAGAGUUAAAAUUUCGUUCAGAAAUACACAAAAUCGAAAGGAGAUAUACGCAUACCAGCUGGGAAACUUGAACAGGAGAAGGAUUCGACAUCUGAUCCACGGUGUGUGAGAGAGGGAUGAGAUGACGAUUACAUGAGAGAGAGAAUCCGUGUGUUAGCUCGUCGGAGAUCUCAACGGAACGAUGACGAUGACUUUCGAUG
Molecule: long non-coding RNA, 627 nt
Organism: Raphanus sativus (radish)
Lineage: Eukaryota; Viridiplantae; Streptophyta; Magnoliopsida; Brassicales; Brassicaceae
Exons: 4
Source: RefSeq, a predicted model, not a curated record